UUUUUUUUUCUUCUUCCCAUUUUUCACCAUGGGAGCUCACUGAAACACAAAGAAAAAGCUCCAUUAAACCCUCCAAACUUCAACCCAUAAACACCUUGUCUUCUCCAAAAGAUGUAGCUUGAAGCUACUGCCAAAAACAGCCCAAAACCUCCACAAAAUCAGUAAACGCAGCUCCUCCAUCACCUCUUGAACGAGAAGCAAUAGUCCUGAUUUGAAAGUAAAACCUGACAGACCCCUGUAGAGAGAGCAGUUGCAGACCGUAAGAAUUAAAAAUAAAGAACAAAAUAACGCCUAAAGGAUCAAGGGAAAGACUAGGAGGUGCCGAUUUUGUUAUAGAAUAGACCCUUUACAGCGUCCUCUGCUUCCUCCCAUUGAUUUCCAAACAUUUGGUUCUCGAAUGGAGUUAAAUCACAGUGAGUUUGCUGCUCGAGUCACUGAGGUCGAGUUUUCCGGUAAUUUCUUUGGUUGACGGAUUCGUUCGAGGCUUCUGAUUCGAGUCCUAUUUCCAUGCGUGUAAACUUUGCUGGAAUUUUAAUUGAAUUCGCUUGGAG
This 551-nucleotide long non-coding RNA is filed under the name Nicotiana benthamiana. Its description in RNAcentral is "long non-coding RNA (NBEN_LNC004645)". Lineage: Eukaryota; Viridiplantae; Streptophyta; Magnoliopsida; Solanales; Solanaceae. The record is from RNAcentral.